AUGACCGUGGAGGGAGAGACUGCAUCUCAUUAAAAACAAAUGCAGCGCCGAAGGAGCAAGCAUACAGCGAAUCUCUCAGGCAGCAAAGACUUUCACGGGACG
This 102-nucleotide non-coding RNA is filed under the name Salimicrobium flavidum. RNAcentral's name for it is "Glycine sequence". It matches the Rfam family "Glycine riboswitch aptamer". From Rfam's summary of the family: This family represents the bacterial glycine riboswitch. The record is from RNAcentral. Lineage: Bacteria; Bacillati; Bacillota; Bacilli; Caryophanales; Bacillaceae.